Molecule: long non-coding RNA, 1381 nt
Organism: Prinia subflava (tawny-flanked prinia)
Lineage: Eukaryota; Metazoa; Chordata; Aves; Passeriformes; Cisticolidae
Exons: 3
Source: RefSeq, a predicted model, not a curated record
CUGGGCUUUGGCUUCUCCAUUUCAUGAGUUCUACCCAUCACCACCCUCCAGCUUCCAAAUGGGGAGGACAAUCCUGGCUACAAGUUCUAGAUAUGGUCAGCAAAAUCCUUCAGAAGGCCCUGGAUGUGAAAACAUCCAUCUUUUUCUAUCAUGGUUCCUGGAGCUGAAACAGCUCCUGUGGUGGUUUCUGUGUUCAUGGGCUGGGGCUGCUGCCACCAGGAGGUUCCAGGCUUCCAGAGAAGGGUAGAACCCUUUCCCAUUUAAUUUCCAUUAGUCCAGAUGACUUUGUUAUUGACAUCUUGAAAGAACAGACAUACCACAGCCUGAACACCCAGGUGGCCUAGUGAGAAUUCAUUUCUAAUUGCUUAUUCAUUCACUGUUGCAGGAGAAAGAGUUCCAGAUAUUUCAUUUGAGGAGCAUUAUUUAAACCCUUUUUUCUCCAAUUAUUAGGUAAAUAAGAGAACACAUAGUUUAAAUACUGUGUACAACUCCAUGAUAAAUAGGCCUUCUUGGGACAGAAUUGUCAUUAUCAAUCUCAAUUCUCACCUCAGGCUGAGACUGACAAAAUGUCUUAAACUUAUAAGAAAUUCAUUCAGUUUCCUGGAGCCCCUGAGGUUUGAGUCUUCAGGAUGGGAAGUUUUCAUAACAAAAGUUAUAGUAAUAUGAACUUCAAUUUCCUGUUUUAAAAGCACCAAUUUUCAUAUAAGCCCAUGACUCCACCUGGAACUUGAAGGAAAUGGUCAAAUGCUGCAGAAGAAAAGCUACGAGCCACAGGGAUAGUCUAGAGGGAGAUUAUGAAGCCCCUGGAAUGUUACUGGGUAAAAAUACAGCCAGGUAUUGAGCAUAAUUGGUACUAACAUGUAUUAUUUCCCUGGGCAGAGUCUGGUGUUGUUUGAUUCUUCUCAGUAGCCAGCACAAAAAUGCCCUGGACAUGAGGCACAAGAGGAGUAUAAAUAAUAUCAAUGAUUUAGGCACUGACCAUAUGGGAGCAGACCCAAAGCUAGAGCAAGAUGAGUCGAUCUGCUGCAGAGGAGGGAACUGUGCCAGCCUGUGCUGAGGAAAUGGCCUGAGAGCUGAUCCUGUUCGUGGGGACCAGAUGAUAUGGGUCAAGUCCAAGUCUCCUACUCAUCCCUGCUGUGCCCCUCCUCAUUGGAGCUCCGAGGGGAGUGCAACCAACAUGUGAGUCCAUCAGCUCUCCUGCACACUGCUCCACUCUACCCACACUUCCCACAUGGAAGCAAUUCACCAUCUCGUCAUUGGAGCAGACAGGAUGGAAAUUGCUGUUUGAUGCCACCUCCCUCGCUCCUGCAAAUCAGAGAUAAAAUCCAACAGCGUUUCCUGUCUUUCAGUAUAGGAAAAUCAACAAUAAAACUUAACAUUG